RNAcentral lists this non-coding RNA (26 nucleotides) under Rattus norvegicus (Norway rat). The record is from RNAcentral. Lineage: Eukaryota; Metazoa; Chordata; Mammalia; Rodentia; Muridae.
UUCUCAAGACCUGUGAGGAGAUGCGU